AAAUUGAAGAGUUUGAUCAUGGCUCAGAUUGAACGCUGGCGGCAGGCCUAACACAUGCAAGUCGAACGGUAACAGGAAGCAGCUUGCUGCUUCGCUGACGAGUGGCGGACGGGUGAGUAAUGUCUGGGAAACUGCCUGAUGGAGGGGGAUAACUACUGGAAACGGUGGCUAAUACCGCAUAACGUCGCAAGACCAAAGAGGGGGACCUUCGGGCCUCUUGCCAUCAGAUGUGCCCAGAUGGGAUUAGCUGGUUGGUGAGGUAACGGCUCACCAAGGCGACGAUCCCUAG
This 289-nucleotide ribosomal RNA is filed under the name Salmonella enterica subsp. enterica serovar Kentucky. RNAcentral's name for it is "partial 16S ribosomal RNA". It matches the Rfam family "Bacterial small subunit ribosomal RNA", at positions 1 to 286 of the family's 1533-position model. The record is from RNAcentral. Lineage: Bacteria; Pseudomonadati; Pseudomonadota; Gammaproteobacteria; Enterobacterales; Enterobacteriaceae.